Molecule: ribosomal RNA, 378 nt
Filed under: uncultured eukaryote
Lineage: Eukaryota
Description: partial 18S ribosomal RNA
Rfam family: Eukaryotic small subunit ribosomal RNA
Source: RNAcentral
CAAUAGCGUAUAUUUAAGUUGUUGCAGUUAAAAAGCUCGUAGUUGGAUUUCGGGUGGGACGCAGCGGUCUCGCAUUGCGUUUGUACUGCUGCAGCCCUCCUUCUUGCCGGGGGCGGCCUCUCGGACUUCACUGUCUGGGGGUCAGAAUCGGCGAUGUUACUUUGAGUAAAUUAGAGUGUUCAAAGCAAGCUUACGCUCUGAAUAUAAUAGCAUGGGACAACACGACAGGACUCUGGCCUAUCGUGUUGGUCUAUAGGACCAGAGUAAUGAUUAAGAGGGACAGUCGGGGGCAUUCGUAUUCCGUUGUCAGAGGUGAAAUUCUUGGAUUUACGGAAGACGAACAUCUGCGAAAGCAUUUGCCAAGGAUGUUUUCAUUGA